This 1233-nucleotide long non-coding RNA is filed under the name Mus musculus (house mouse). RNAcentral describes it as "long non-coding RNA chr2:113444876-113446109". The record is from RNAcentral. Lineage: Eukaryota; Metazoa; Chordata; Mammalia; Rodentia; Muridae.
GAACCUUGUGCAGGCUGAACGUACAGAUGCCAUAUCAGUUACUCUCUCACUCUUGUUAGACAAAGCUUCAGUUAAUGCAUGUCCAAUUCUAAGACACUCUACCUCUCUGGAAAACUUCCCAGGAACUCAAUUUGAAUCUAUUUACAUGGAAUAAGACUGUAGAUAUUUUACUCUUUAAGUGGAAGGUUCAAAAAAAAAUCACUGUAGAACUACACAUGCAUAUAUUUUAUGUGUGUGUGUGUGUGUGUGUGUGUGUGUGUGUGUGUGUAAGGGGUAAGGGGCUGUGUUUCAUCAAAACUCUUUACUUUCUUCCUGAUAUUUGGAGACUUAUCUGACCUACCCAGAGACUGCCACUCCAAAAUAUGGUGACAGUGCUUUUAUUUAUUUAAUUUAAAGGAUUACCUAGAAACCGGCAGGUGCUAGAAGAGGCUUUCUGACAGCUUUUCAUUAUCAUGUUCCAGUUUUGAUUAACUUUCCUGAAGUGAAUUCUCAUUGUGAUGCUGGGCUAGCGAGUCCUGGGCAAGGGGCCUCGUCCCAUGCUAGCUGAGCUACGUUGCAGCACAAAGGACCUGGGGUGCACUUCUGAUCUCUGCUGAGCUUUCUCUUAAUGAAACUCACAUGGUGGCUACACAAAAGAAAGAUGAAGUCUGUGAUACACCCACACAGGCUACCAUUUUCUAUUUCAGUCCUGGUCAGUGUUCAAGGGGGGAAGUGUUCCUGUUGGAAAGAAUCACUUACAAUCUUUUGUCUGUUCUGUGAGCCUGAGGCCUUAGCGUUUUCCACUUUCUUCCCCAUGGGACAGGAGAAUCUUCAUUGUGAAAUCACACAACUUCCUCCAUGUCCCUGAUGUUCUCGUCUCUUCCCAUUGUACCCAUAUGUUAACAGUUCAUUGCAGUGAAUCUUUAGAAGGUAGAGAGAAGCCCUUCCUUUGUUCAUCUUUAAUAUGUGGCUUUUUGGUGGUGGUGGUGGUGGUGGUGGUGGUAAGCAUGCAUACAUAAUGAAUAGAAAGACUUCUUUGUGUAAGUGAGGGGCUCAAAGCUUAGUUAAUUCAGUAGGCUUUGUGUAAUAUCAGACAGAGGUUGAGAAUACUCACCUUGGCAAGGGGGCUCGGAGGUGGUCUCUAGCCUCCACAGAAUCACAAACCUGUGACUUCCCUGGGACAGUUAAGUACAUCAUAGCACAUUGUUAUUAUUAUUAUUUUUUUUUUUUUGCACUGCCUUUCUUAUCGGAUUG